Cercocebus atys (sooty mangabey) is the source of this 116-nucleotide ribosomal RNA. The record is from Ensembl. NCBI's taxonomy places the organism in Eukaryota, Metazoa, Chordata, Mammalia, Primates, Cercopithecidae.
GUCUGAAACGAUAUCACCCUGUGUGCACCUGAUCUCAUCUGAUCUCAAAAGCUAAGGCAGGGUAGGGACUAUUUAGUACUUGGAUGGGAGUCUGGUACUGUCUAUGGUUUCAGUCA